CUCGGGAGACGCCGCUGGCUCUCUAGGAACACCUGGGGACCGUGGCCAGGGACGACCCAGCCUCCUUCUCCUCAGCUCCUCAGGAACGACUGGGGAAGCUGUGGCUUCAUGGUCCCCGAGGCUGCCCGAGGAAAGACAGAGUCUCAACCAGGCUGGAGUGCAGUGGCGUGAUCUCGGCUCAUUGCAACCUCCGCCUCCCAGGUUCAAGCGAUUCUCCUGCCUCAGCCUCCUGAGUAGCUGGUAUUACAGGUAUUUCAGGACAGCCAGGAGGGGGCGCACAUCCGCCGAGAAACUGUGAGCAAGAGCGUCUGUGCUGAACCAUGGCGCCACCAGAGGGCGCGCGAUCCCGCCCCAACCAACUUCCCGCUGAAGUGCCAGAAGCAGCGAGGAGCUUCAACUUCCUCAGGGCAGCACGGGGGUCGUGUUAAUUUGGUGUUCUUCAUUGGUUGUUGGAACGUAAUAAGAGUUAAUGUGUGGUCUCUGCUGCAGUGUCCUGAAACAGAGCGCUAAGCCUUGGGAAUGUACGAAGUAAUGUGUCUUUCGUACGCUAAUGAAAUGAUUGAUGGCUGGGGGCACCUGGACAGCCUCAGUGGGGCUGGC
This 600-nucleotide long non-coding RNA is filed under the name Homo sapiens (human). RNAcentral's name for it is "family with sequence similarity 157 member D". The record is from RNAcentral. Lineage: Eukaryota; Metazoa; Chordata; Mammalia; Primates; Hominidae.